GCCUCUAAGCAUCAGGUAACAUCAAAUCGUACCCCAAACCGACACAGGUGGUCAGGUAGAGAAUACCAAGGCGCUUGAGAGAACUCGGGUGAAGGAACUAGGCAAAAUGGUGCCGUAACUUCGGGAGAAGGCACGCUGACACGUAGGUGAAGUGAUUUACUCAUGGAGCUGAAGUCAGUCGAAGAUACCAGCUGGCUGCAACUGUUUAUUAAAAACACAGCACUGUGCAAACACGAAAGUGGACGUAUACGGUGUGACGCCUGCCCGGUGCCGGAAGGUUAAUUGAUGGGGUCAGCGCAAGCGAAGCUCCUGAUCGAAGCCCCGGUAAACGGCGGCCGUAACUAUAACGGUCCUAAGGUAGCGAAAUUCCUUGUCGGGUAAGUUCCGACCUGCACGAAUGGCGUAAUGAUGGCCAGGCUGUCUCCACCCGAGACUCAGUGAAAUUGAACUCGCUGUGAAGAUGCAGUGUACCCGCGGCAAGACGGAAAGACCCCGUGAACCUUUACUAUAGCUUGACACUGAACAUUGAGCCUUGAUGUGUAGGAUAGGUGGGAGGCUUUGAAGUGUGGACGCCAGUCUGCAUGGAGCCGACCUUGAAAUACCACCCUUUAAUGUUUGAUGUUCUAACGUGGACCCGUAAUCCGGGUUGCGGACAGUGUCUGGUGGGUAGUUUGACUGGGGCGGUCUCCUCCUAAAGAGUAACGGAGGAGCACGAAGGUUGGCUAAUCCUGGUCGGACAUCAGGAGGUUAGUGCAAUGGCAUAAGCCAGCUUGACUGCGAGCGUGACGGCGCGAGCAGGUGCGAAAGCAGGUCAUAGUGAUCCGGUGGUUCUGAAUGGAAGGGCCAUCGCUCAACGGAUAAAAGGUACUCCGGGGAUAACAGGCUGAUACCGCCCAAGAGUUCAUAUCGACGGCGGUGUUUGGCACCUCGAUGUCGGCUCAUCACAUCCUGGGGCUGAAGUAGGUCCCAAGGGUAUGGCUGUUCGCCAUUUAAAGUGGUACGCGAGCUGGGUUUAGAACGUCGUGAGACAGUUCGGUCCCUAUCUGCCGUGGGCGCUGGAGAACUGAGGGGGGCUGCUCCUAGUACGAGAGGACCGGAGUGGACGCAUCACUGGUGUUCGGGUUGUCAUGCCAAUGGCACUGCCCGGUAGCUAAAUGCGGAAGAGAUAAGUGCUGAAAGCAUCUAAGCACGAAACUUGCCCCGAGAUGAGUUCUCCCUGAGACUUAGAGUCUCCUGAAGGAACGUUGAAGACGACGACGUUGAUAGGCCGGGUGUGUAAGCGCAGCGAUGCGUUGAGCUAACCGGUACUAAUGAACCGUGAGGCUUAACCUU
This 1332-nucleotide ribosomal RNA is filed under the name Salmonella enterica. RNAcentral describes it as "partial 23S ribosomal RNA". It matches the Rfam family "Bacterial large subunit ribosomal RNA", at positions 1617 to 2925 of the family's 2925-position model. Lineage: Bacteria; Pseudomonadati; Pseudomonadota; Gammaproteobacteria; Enterobacterales; Enterobacteriaceae. The record is from RNAcentral.